RNAcentral lists this ribosomal RNA (382 nucleotides) under uncultured bacterium. Its description in RNAcentral is "bacterial SSU rRNA". It matches the Rfam family "Bacterial small subunit ribosomal RNA", at positions 29 to 405 of the family's 1533-position model. The record is from RNAcentral.
AACGAACGCUGGCGGCGCGCUUAACACAUGCAAGUCGAACGAUUAAGACUUCCUUCGGGAAGUGUAUAAAGUGGCGCACGGGUGAGUAACACGUAAGUAAUCUGCCUUCGAGUGGGGAAUACCUUCGGGAAACCGAAGAUAAUACCGCAUAAUGCAGCGGCACCGCAAGGUGACAGUUGUUAAAGGAGCAAUCCGCUUGAAGAGGAGCUUGCGGCAGAUUAGCUAGNGGUAAGGUAAUGGCUUACCAAGGCUACGAUCUGUAUCCGGUCUAAGAGGACGGUCGGACACACUGACACUGAAUAACGGGUCAGACUCCUACGGGAGGCAGCAGUCGGGAAUUUUGGGCAAUGGGCGAAAGCCUGACCCAGCAACGCCGCGUGAA